CUUGGCUGUCCCUGACUAACAACCCAACCUUGGCAGCAGGAGUGACUACACCAUGUGAAAGAGUGGGCUGGGAGACAUCACUUCAAGGUUGCUCUCAACAAGUCCAGGAAAUCUCUCCUGGUGCUACCCAAGAUAGUCACCCUUUGUCCUGCCCACGACAUGCUUUCCUCACAUGUGAGGCCACAUCAAAGAAGAAGCGUUUGUCACAGCAGGGGAUGUGCCGGGUCCAGACACUUAUGAAUGAAGAGUGACCAAGACUUCGUUCCUUCCCCUGAAAAAAAUAGUCUACCAGCUGAGCAAGACACACAC
This 309-nucleotide long non-coding RNA is filed under the name Capra hircus (goat). Its description in RNAcentral is "lncRNA (ENSCHIG00000007283.1)". Lineage: Eukaryota; Metazoa; Chordata; Mammalia; Artiodactyla; Bovidae. The record is from RNAcentral.